Bison bison bison is the source of this 131-nucleotide small nucleolar RNA. Its record names the gene SNORA70. It matches the Rfam family "Small nucleolar RNA SNORA70". From Rfam's summary of the family: snoRNA U70 seems to be exclusive to mammals and is a member of the H/ACA class of snoRNA which contain H (ANANNA) and ACA box motifs. H/ACA box snoRNAs are involved in the conversion of uridines to pseudouridines (5-ribosyluracil) a constituent of structural RNAs (transfer, ribosomal, small nuclear, and small nucleolar). NCBI's taxonomy places the organism in Eukaryota, Metazoa, Chordata, Mammalia, Artiodactyla, Bovidae. The record is from Ensembl.
CUGCCGCCAGGUAGGCCGACUGUGCUCCUUUCUCCGGGGCCUGGCGUGCAGUGACCGCAGACAGCGCCCUUCCUGGUAGUGUGUGCGCCCUGCUGCCUGGAUGGUUGCCUUAAGGGACCUUGGAGACAGGC